AGACGGUUAGUCCAAUGAAAGAUAGCUGAUUUCGGCUUAGCAGAAUGUGGUUCAACUCCAUGACCGUCUU
This 70-nucleotide transfer RNA is filed under the name Simenchelys parasitica (snubnosed eel). RNAcentral describes it as "tRNA-Arg". It matches the Rfam family "tRNA". Rfam says of the family: Transfer RNA (tRNA) molecules are approximately 80 nucleotides in length. Their secondary structure includes four short double-helical elements and three loops (D, anti-codon, and T loops). The record is from RNAcentral. Lineage: Eukaryota; Metazoa; Chordata; Actinopteri; Anguilliformes; Synaphobranchidae.